UGGGGAAUAUUGCACAAUGGGCGCAAGCCUGAUGCAGCCAUGCCGCGUGUAUGAAGAAGGCCUUCGGGUUGUAAAGUACUUUCAGCGGGGAGGAAGGCGAUAAGGUUAAUAACCUUGUCGAUUGACGUUACCCGCAGAAGAAGCACCGGCUAACUCCGUGCCAGCAGCCGCGGUAAUACGGAGGGUGCAAGCGUUAAUCGGAAUUACUGGGCGUAAAGCGCACGCAGGCGGUCUGUCGAGUCGGAUGUGAAAUCCCCGGGCUCAACCUGGGAACUGCAUUCGAAACUGGCAGGCUAGAGUCUUGUAGAGGGGGGUAGAAUUCCAGGUGUAGCGGUGAAAUGCGUAGAGAUCUGGAGGAAUACCGGUGGCGAAGGCGGCCCCCUGGACAAAGACUGACGCUCAGGUGCGAAAGCGUGGGGAGCAAACA
RNAcentral lists this ribosomal RNA (427 nucleotides) under uncultured bacterium. RNAcentral's name for it is "partial 16S ribosomal RNA". It matches the Rfam family "Bacterial small subunit ribosomal RNA", at positions 355 to 774 of the family's 1533-position model. The record is from RNAcentral.